UACGGGGGGGGCAAGCGUUGUUCGGAAUUACUGGGCGUAAAGGGCUCGUAGGCGGCCAACUAAGUCAGACGUGAAAUCCCCAGGCUCAACCUGGGAACUGCGUCUGAUACUGGAUGGCUUGAAUCCGGGAGAGGGAUGCAGAAUUCCAGGUGUAGCGGUGAAAUGCUUAGAUAUGACAUAGAACACCAAUUGCGAAGGCAGCUGGCUACACAUAUAUUGACACUGAUGCACGAGAGCGUGGGGAUCAAACAGG
This 253-nucleotide ribosomal RNA is filed under the name uncultured bacterium. RNAcentral's name for it is "partial 16S ribosomal RNA". It matches the Rfam family "Bacterial small subunit ribosomal RNA", at positions 524 to 776 of the family's 1533-position model. The record is from RNAcentral.